RNAcentral lists this non-coding RNA (162 nucleotides) under uncultured Veillonella sp. Its description in RNAcentral is "Lysine riboswitch". It matches the Rfam family "Lysine riboswitch aptamer". Rfam says of the family: Riboswitches are metabolite binding domains within certain messenger RNAs that serve as precision sensors for their corresponding targets. Allosteric rearrangement of mRNA structure is mediated by ligand binding, and this results in modulation of gene expression. This family includes riboswitches that sense lysine in a number of genes involved in lysine metabolism, including lysC. The record is from RNAcentral. Lineage: Bacteria; Bacillati; Bacillota; Negativicutes; Veillonellales; Veillonellaceae.
GAGAUAGAGGCGCGAAGUUUAUUAGUAUCAUAUAGGAGUGCGGUACACGUUGAGUAUAUGGGAAAGGAACCUUCGCCGAAAGAGAUUGCUUGCCGAAGCGAUUUCUUGGUUAGGUAUCGAAUAGGUGCUUGACUGUCAUCGAUACAUCGAUGGAGUGCUAGC